CCUACGGGGGGCAGCAGUGGGGGAUAUUGCACAAUGGGGGAAACCCUGAUGCAGCGACGCCGCGUGUGGGAAGACGGUCCUCUGGAUUGUAAACCACUGUCCCCAGGGACGAAGAUGACGGUACCUGGGGAGGAAGCUCCGGCUAACUACGUGCCAGCAGCCGCGGUAAUACGUAGGGAGCGAGCGUUGUCCGGAAUUACUGGGUGAAAAGGGAGCGUAGGCGGGACUGCAAGUUGGGUGUCAAAUCUACCGGCUCAACCGGUAGCCGCACUCAAAACUGCAGUUCUUGAGUGAAGUAGAGGCAGGCGGAAUUCCUAGUGUAGCGGUGAAAUGCGUAGAUAUUAGGAGGAACACCAGUGGCGAAGGCGGCCUGCUGGGCUUUUACUGACGCUGAGGCUCGAAAGUGUGGGGAGCAAACAGGAUUAGAUACCAGGGUAGUC
RNAcentral lists this ribosomal RNA (440 nucleotides) under uncultured bacterium. RNAcentral describes it as "partial 16S ribosomal RNA". It matches the Rfam family "Bacterial small subunit ribosomal RNA", at positions 338 to 795 of the family's 1533-position model. The record is from RNAcentral.